UACAUAGGGUGCAAGCGUUGUCCGGAUUUACUGGGCGUAAAGAGCAUGUAGGCGGAAAUUUAAGUCAAACUUGAAAUACUGGAGCUUAACUCCAGUCCGGGUUUGAUACUGGAUUUCUAGAGAAUGGGAGAGGAAAGUAGAACUAACAGUGUAGCGGUGAAAUGCGUAGAUAUUGUUAGGAAUACCCGUGGCGAAGGCGGCUUUCUGGACCACUUCUGACGCUGAGAUGCGAAAGCGUGGGGAUCAAACA
RNAcentral lists this ribosomal RNA (250 nucleotides) under uncultured bacterium. RNAcentral describes it as "partial 16S ribosomal RNA". It matches the Rfam family "Bacterial small subunit ribosomal RNA", at positions 524 to 774 of the family's 1533-position model. The record is from RNAcentral.